UACGGAGGGUGCAAGCGUUAUCCGGAUUUAUUGGGUUUAAAGGGUCCGUAGGCGGAUCGUUAAGUCAGCGGUGAAAGCCCACAGCUCAACUGUGGAACUGCCGUUGAUACUGGCGAUCUUGAAUAUGUAUGAAGUUGGCGGAAUGUGUGGUGUAGCGGUGAAAUGCUUAGAUAUCACACAGAACACCGAUUGCGAAGGCAGCUGGCUAAUACAUGAUUGACGCUGAGGGACGAAAGUGUGGGGAUCAAACAGG
RNAcentral lists this ribosomal RNA (253 nucleotides) under uncultured bacterium. Its description in RNAcentral is "partial 16S ribosomal RNA". It matches the Rfam family "Bacterial small subunit ribosomal RNA", at positions 524 to 776 of the family's 1533-position model. The record is from RNAcentral.